RNAcentral lists this ribosomal RNA (497 nucleotides) under uncultured bacterium. RNAcentral's name for it is "partial 16S ribosomal RNA". It matches the Rfam family "Bacterial small subunit ribosomal RNA", at positions 28 to 507 of the family's 1533-position model. The record is from RNAcentral.
GAUGAACGCUGGCGGCGUGCCUAAUACAUGCAAGUCGAGCGAACAGACGAGGCGCUUGCUCCUCUGACGUUAGCGGCGGACGGGUGAGUAACACGUGGAUAACCUACCUAUAAGACUGGGAUAACUUCGGGAAACCGGAGCUAAUACCGGAUAAUAUAUUGAACCGCGUGGUUCAAUAGUGAAAGACGGUUUUGCUGUCACUUAUAGAUGGAUCCGCGCCGCAUUAGCUAGUUGGUAAGGUCACGGCUUACCACGGCAACGAUGCGUAGCCGACCUGAGAGGGGGAUCGGCCACACUGGAACUGGGACACGGUCCAGACUCCUACGGGAGGGAGCAGUAGGGAAUCUUCGGCAAUGGGCGAAAGCUUGACGGAGCAACGCCGCGUGAGUGAUGAAGGUCUUCGGAUCGUAAAACUCUGUUAUUAGGGAAGAACAAAUGUGUAAGUAACUAUGCACGUCUUGACGGUACCUAAUCAGAAAGCCACGGCUAACUACGUG